AGAAGAAGAAGCAGAAGAAGGCAGCAACCUGAACCUGUCAAUUGAGCUGGACCUAACAAGACAUAAUGCCUGAAGUCAAGUCGAUGUUCAGAGAAGUGUUGCCUAAACAAGUUGUCCAUGGAGGACGUCCCCACCAUGGUGCUGUGUAAGCCCAAGCUGCUGCCUCUGAAAUCAGUCACCCUGGAGAAACUGGAGAAG
Coregonus clupeaformis (lake whitefish) is the source of this 198-nucleotide long non-coding RNA. RefSeq lists it as uncharacterized. Lineage: Eukaryota; Metazoa; Chordata; Actinopteri; Salmoniformes; Salmonidae. The transcript is spliced from 3 exons. The record is from RefSeq and is a predicted model, not a curated record.